AGUCCGGGCAAGGCCGGGGGCGGGGACGGGCCCGCAGGGACGGAGCCCGGGAGCGCGGCCCAGCGUGUCCUGGGCCAGCGCAGCCCUUUGCCUGGAGAGGCAGCUGGCAAUACAUGUCACAGAAUCCCAGGUUAAAAGGGACUACAGUGCGUCACUCGGUGGAACUGCGCUGCUCAAGCAGGGCCAUCCCAGAGCGCAUUGCACGGGACUGUAUCCAGAGGGAUCUUGAAUGUUUCCAGUCACGGGGACUCCACAGCCUCUCUGGACUAUCUGUGAUAGUGCUCAGUCACCUACACAGCAAUGAAGCUUUUCUUCAUGUUCAGGUGGAACUUCUGUGCAUCAAUUUUUGCCCCUUAUCCCCCGUCCUAUUGGUUGGCACCAGUGAGCACAGCCUGGCUCCAUCCUCCUGGCACCCUCACUUUAGAUACUUACGCCCAAAAUAUUAAAUAGUUUGGUUUAGAAAGGAAGGGAUGUGAUAAUUCAGUCAAAAGACAUUCCCAAAAAUGACAUUACAUUUGUGAGCCGUCAUCUGGGUGUUUUUCUGGAUCUCACCGUGAUCUGCAUGCAAAGAAAUGUGACUGGGCCAGUAGCUGCACCUAUGCUCUGAUGGGAUUUCUCACUGAGAAUGCACCCCAUGCACCAGAUACUUCUUGUCAAAACCAUGAGUCAGAUAAAAAUGACAAUAGAAAAAGCAAGACCCUUGCAGAAUUAAAUAAGAGUAUUAAUCUGAAAUGUUGGCGUUCAAAGCCCGUGAAAUAAGUGCUUUAUGGAUCUGCAUAAUGUUCAUUCAUUUACGAGAUUACACUCAUGAUGCAGGCUAAAUGUGCUAAACUGCAGAUCGACUUUGUCUGGUUUUCCUCAUCACGCCUAUAGAGGGAGGUAGGGCUUGUGUUUUGGAAAGGAGUGUUGAUUCGUGCUGUCAAAGAACACUGAGACGUUGACCUUACAGUUCUGCCAAGCAGCUGUGCUAAAACUACUCCGUUUUGUUCUCAGUAACUAUUAUUUCAGCCUGCAAUUAUUUUCAUCCAAGUUGCAACAAGAUAAUAAGGAAUGGCAAUAUGCAUAUCUAAAACACUGCUAUUAGGAAGAACCAAGGUUUUCUCACUUAUAUGGCCAGUAACACAAAAACAACCUUGCAAAAUUUUGCAAAACACAUCUGAGGGAAUGCCAGUCGUCUGUCUCACUGACACACAAACAAAAUGAAAAUCACAGCCUUGAGGAGCCCAGCUACUCUAGGAAGAUCUGAAGUAUGUAUAUCUGAAGAAAGGGACUUCCAUCAGCUUGGCAUAAGCUGUACAGGAAAUAAGCCACACAAACUUGAAAACAGCUUUUAGUUGACAUUGCAUUUCAAAUUAUAUGAAAACAUAAUUGCAGUAAUUUUCUGUAUAGAUAAGCUUUCAAAUUCAGCAUUGAACAUUUUAAUGUAGUGUUGGAUAUUUGGACAUGCGUGUGAAAGGCCUGAAGAACUGAUUCUGGAUAUAUACAUCUACAAGUUAGUGGCAAAUCUACCUAGGAGGGCCAUUCAUCAGUCUUUGAGCAAUGGUGAUCAAUGGAAUGACCAACUUGGAUGUUUUUGGAGUCAUUAGUCAGAAUUUUCUCGAAAGCAUAAUGAUAGUAGGGCUAUAUAUCCUAGUAAGUGCUUAUUUAGCCCAAGAAUAUAUUUAGUUGAAUUUAAUCCCUGUUAUCAGCAUGGUAUUUUUAUAUGACCAAGUCAUACACAGACUUAAACAGGUCAGACUUCUCAGCAGCUGUUUGAAGUGCAUGACACAUUCUGGACGGAAGAAGCUGUCAGGCAGUGUAAUGAGGGCAGUUUUGAAGGAAAUAUCACUUAAUUGUGGCUGAUGCUGCUGAAUUAGUCAUACGUCCUUACUGCCAGGGGACACCGUCAUGGAGCUUUAGCUCUUCUAUCUCAGGACAGCAUGUUUUACAUGAAUCUAGAGAAACAGCUGCAGUAAUGAAAUCAUUCAAAUUCUGCUCCUUACUCAUAAAUGUGCAAUAGCCAUUCCAAACAACACUGCACAAAAUGGAUUUUUUUUUUCUGGGAGCAAAAUAUGGCUCAAAACACAAAAUAUUAAUUUUGGAUUGUACAAAAUCUGUGUCACUAACAGCAGAGUAGCUAUCAAUUAAUUAGUUGAAAGCUUGUAAGUACAGACAAAUCUUUUAUGAACACGUGUCUCUUGAAGAGAGUCUCUUACUUCCACUGUUGGUGUGCUAGUGAAAAAUUGAUUCUAGAAUGUUAAAUUAAAAAUCACUGCAGAAGCAUUUUAAGCACAAAUUCAUAAUUUUUGAGCGUUUUAAGCACAUAAUUCAUUCACAUAGAUUUUAUCCGUUGAUUUUUUUACUGGGAAAUUUACCAAGCCAUUCUACUUUAUUUGUAUCUUCUCUGCCCCAAACAUGUCAAUUUCCUUCAAAUGACAGAAGCAAGCUCAGGAUGUUCUGACCUGUUUGUUUAUUUGGGGUUGUAUCAAUAGGAUCAACCACAUCAGUGCUUAAAGACUUACAUUAUGAGUAAUCGACUGUUUCAUUUCGUAUAUCUUAAUUACUCCUAAUUUCCCUAGGGCUUCCUGUACUUGCUGCAUGUUGUGUUCUAUCUGCUGGGGACAGUCAGUGUGCCUGUUUUUAGCAGUGACAAGUUAAACAGCCUGCACAAGGAAAGAUGCAAUAGCUGUUAAACAAGGAUAUAAUGCGAGCAAACAUCUCCCUCUGACUUGUCCUUCCUGGAAAAGUUACUUGUUAUUUCCUUUUUCUCAGCAUUUACAGAAGAAAGGUAUAGCUUUGCUAAUUAAUGUCUUACAAAGCUCAGGUCAGAGUUUUCAAUCUGCAGCCUAACAGAUUGUGUUCAGUCUGACAAAACAAUUAAUUCAACAUGCUUCUCAGGAAGCCUCAGUUUCUUCCCAUCACAUUUGCACAUCCUAAACUAUACCACACAAUCUGUUUCUCAAGUUUUGUGCUGAUGUUUCCAUCAACAUUAUCAUUAGCCUGCAAGGCUGAGCUCUGAUUAUUAAAAUGUCCAGUGCUGAACAGGUUUACAGCCAGUACAGACACAUUCCAUCGUCACAACCACUUACCACAGCAUCUACUGGAUUAAUUACUGCAAGGUCACAAACCCUUCUUCUAGAUCAAAAGUGAACUGACUGUAGAGUUCAACUUAACUGACCUAAUUCCAAGUGGCAAAAUUUCUUGUUAACUGGACCAAGUUUGUUUCUGUAUCUAUUUGGGUUUGUUAUGAUUUAAAUAUAAGUAAGUAGGAAGAGCUUAGGCAAUUGCUAGCACAGUCAUAAUUUUCUUUCCCAGACAGAUGGCACAAGUGAUGAGGGCCACUAGAAAAGACUUGGCAUCUCUAAAGUUACAAUCAAUGUAUCAGCUAUGAUAUACUGGUGCUUUUAUAGGGAAUGCUAAACACCAUUUUUGGGCAGCUCCUCAAAAUAAUUGGAAGAGUGAAAGCAACACUUAAAAGUGUUCUACUAGACAGUUGAGUCACAUGUGGAUCAUGUUUCAGAGGUUCAUGUUUUAAAUCAGUCUUGAGGAAAAAUAAAGUUAUGCAAAGGAAAGGAAUACAAAUAGUACAGCAUUGGUUAGAAAUGGUAACAGAAAUGUAUGACAAGCCUUUAUGUACAAUUUAAAAUUUGAAAUUGAAGUGAAAGUUCAACGUUAUCCUACAAAAGCUAAAAUCUUGCAACAGUAGAAAUUACUGAGUGAAUAGCAUCAAUUAAUCAAAUAUAUAGACCUGCUUAAUUUUCACUUCCUGUGUAUUUAUUCAUACACAACAGUAAUUUUCAAUCUUUUCCAUGAAUACUAGAAUAAUUUUUAUAAUGGCAGGCAUUUCUAUCUCCAUUUCACAUUUGUGAUCAUUGUGAACAUUGCUUACACUUAGCCUUAAUGGUGUGUUUCUGUUGAGCACUAAAUCACAUUUCAAGUCCCCAGUUAUACAAUAUUCCUUCCACUUACAGACUCCUGCUGUUAGUCUCUGCAUUGGAUCAUUAAGUGCUGCUUUGCAACAGCAUCAAAAUAAAACAAAUUUCUUUUUCUCAGUUUGUGUUUGAAAUGUUAUCAGCACACAGUUAAAGAAAUUUAUUUAGGCAGUGGUGGUCUUACAUUUCAUGUAAAGAAUACUUCUGGUAUGUUGGAGGUGUAAGACAUCUUGCUGCAACAAGAGCAAGGUGUUUUGAUUCAAGGUGGGGUGGGGAACCAGGCCAAGAGACAGAGCAGUCUUAUAGACCAGCAAAUAAGACAGUUACCAUCUAAUGAGACUGGAAAAGAUGGAAUUGCUUCUGUUGAUGCAAGGUUACCAUUCACUGACAGUUAACAAUGACUGUCUCUGAAACAGAUGUAAGCAGAAAGGAAGCUUCAAAUCUUCACAACCUGCACCAGAACACCAGCAAGGCUCUGAGGCAGACUGCAAAUUAAGCCUCAGCCUUUCCAGGAGUUUCAUUGUACUAUUACAAAAGCUCAGCAGCUUCAAGAGGAAACUGCAGCCUAGCCAGCAGAGGGAACUGAGGCUGCUCAAAGUCACUUUGUCAUCUGCAGCCAGAACUGCAGGAGGAAGACAGAGAUGAAUGCUUAUCACAUCUACACCUCACACUAAUCUUAAUACAUACAAUUCUGUUUUCAUUGUUUGGGGCACUACUGUUAUCCACAGCCUGGAAAUAGCUCAGCCUUCAUCAAAAUGGCAUUUUAUAAACUAGUGCUUUGCUAAAGAAGUGUAUUUUUUGCCACAGCUCUUUCCAGAGGGUACAAUAUACAACACAGAAACAGUACAACCUCUCAGCAUUGUUGAACAACAGAACAGUUACGUGGUCAGACAGAAAGAGAAAUGAGGAACGGGUUGCCAUAUGGAGUACUAUGGCUAAAAACAGAAUUUUAAUAGCAUAUGGUUUUGAGUAAUUUUUUGGUACAUCUAUUACGCAUUAAAGAUAUUGGCAAAGGUUUCAAAUACGAUGAUUUUUUAAAAAUCAUUCAUACAGCACUGAAUAUUCUGAUGACUUUCAGACCUAAAAUAA
This is a long non-coding RNA of Passer domesticus (house sparrow), 5000 nucleotides long. RefSeq lists it as uncharacterized. NCBI's taxonomy places the organism in Eukaryota, Metazoa, Chordata, Aves, Passeriformes, Passeridae. The record is from RefSeq and is a predicted model, not a curated record. The transcript has 2 exons.